GACGAACGCUGGCGGCGUGCUUAACACAUGCAGGUCGAGCGGUAAGGCCCUUUCGGGGGUACACGAGCGGCGAACGGGUGAGUAACACGUGGGUGACCUGCCCUUAGCUCUGGGAUAAGCCUGGGAAACUGGGUCUAAUACCGGAUAUGACUCCAUGACGCAUGUUGUGGGGUGGAAAGCCUUGUGCGGCUAGGGAUGGGCCCGCGGCCUAUCAGCUUGUUGGUGGGGUGANGGCCUACCAAGGCGACGACGGGUAGCCGGCCUGAGAGGGCGACCGGCCACACUGGGACUGAGACACGGCCCAGACUCCUACGGGAGGCAGCAGUGGGGAAUCUUGCGCAAUGGGCGAAAGCCUGACGCAGCGACGCCGCGUGGGGAUGACGGCCUGGU
This 390-nucleotide ribosomal RNA is filed under the name uncultured bacterium. RNAcentral describes it as "bacterial SSU rRNA". It matches the Rfam family "Bacterial small subunit ribosomal RNA", at positions 28 to 420 of the family's 1533-position model. The record is from RNAcentral.